Long non-coding RNA from Cervus elaphus (red deer), 1579 nucleotides. RefSeq lists it as uncharacterized. The record is from RefSeq and is a predicted model, not a curated record. The transcript has 2 exons. NCBI's taxonomy places the organism in Eukaryota, Metazoa, Chordata, Mammalia, Artiodactyla, Cervidae.
AGUCAGCUGUCGGCCAUGAGUGUCAGUCAAAGCUGUCCAAGUGCUGCUUGCAGGUUGACUCCAUCUGGGGGUUUGGAGGCGAGUUUGGUGUCCAGUUGGACAGAGUGGACCAGAAACAUAUUCUACGAAAUUAAGUAGGAGCUGGGCAAUGAUUGUUUUCUCCAGAACAGUGACAAGUGUUUGGAAACGGCCUAAGUGCUCAUCAGUGAGGGGUGAGGUGCAAUCUGUGGACACCCCACAAGGAACAGCCCUCCCCCUCCUUCCUGCCACCUUCAGCUGCCGCCGCCCCAGGACUGACUCGUCUGUGUGUGUUUCCAGUUUCCCCGCACUAAUGCUACAGGUGAUUAUACAGCGUCCAGAAUACGACAAAGACAUUUUGAACUCGAUGCGAUCUUUAAUCUGUUUAAAGUUGUUGUAUGGCCCCUAAGGUAUUUUAUUACAGACUUUUUAAUUAGUGAAAAAUUCAUGAAUACCAUAGAGAAAAUGUUUUAAAAUUUAAUGUUUCUUAUAUUUAUGUAAACUUAUGACUUUAUUUAUAUACUUACUUUUUCUUGUAUAGCCAGGCUAUAUAUAUCCUUUCAGAUCAAUUCAUGUUCUGAUACGUGAUUUUAGUCUUUCAAAUGAAUGUACUGUAAUGCUUGUCUGUAUAAAUCCUAUGAACAAAUAUAGGGCUUUUGUAAAUGAUGCAUUUAUUGUAAUUAUUCUUGUUUAAUUUUUAAAUGAUAAACCAUGAGAGAAGGGGUUUUCCUGCAAUUGUAAAAUCAUCAUGACACGGUGUGCAUUAUCCUUCCAGAAUGUAACUGAGCUCUCCAACACUCACCCUGAAAUGAGCGAACUUAAUUUCAACCAAUUGUUCUAUUUUAACGACUGACCUAAUCUGUACUUUUUCUAGCAAGAAAUGCUUUUUCUCUGCAGAGUGAAGCGAUUUAAAAGUACUGGGUGUUGAAUGUGAGCUUCUAGUGAAGUCUGGGCUGAAAGCAUGACUAGAAGACGACUAUGACAAUCUCUCCUGUGACCUGGUCUCUGAGGACCCGGGUCCCUCUCUCCGCUGAGACUCUUCGGGGACCAAUCGCGAUGCCUUGCACCCGCUGCAGAGCUGGUGCGCUGGACGGUGAAGGAGCCACGUCCCACAGACAGACAGCGUAGUGUAGCUCUAACAAAGGCCUUAGUUUUCUUAUGUAAACAAUCUUUUUAUCUGUAAACAUGUUUAAAGAAUGGACCUAGGCGUACAUUUGUAGAUUUUGACGACAUAGCCAUUUUGGAUUGUAUAAGCAGCAAAUGUAACUUUUACUCUUUCAGGAGCACAUUAAAAAAGCCAGCAAGAGAUGCGUUCAGAUCACAGUGCGUCAUUUAUUAUGCAGUGAUAUCUCAGUAGACAGAGACGGCACGUCUCUUUACAUGUGGGUUCCACCUUUAAUUUACUUGUACAAUUCAUUGUUACCAUUCUGUUUUUCUACUAAUCUUUGGUGAACUACCUGAAUAUGUGACUAAGUACGUACAGUCUACUUUUGAACUAUUUUUAUCACAGUAUUACUGCUUUCUUUCAAUAAAGUGCUGAAGGAAAAUUUCCCACUGCCAA